AAAGCUAGGAUUCUCAAUUAAACUAUUCUUU
RNAcentral lists this transfer RNA (31 nucleotides) under Mastacembelus armatus (zig-zag eel). Its description in RNAcentral is "partial tRNA-Pro". The record is from RNAcentral. Lineage: Eukaryota; Metazoa; Chordata; Actinopteri; Synbranchiformes; Mastacembelidae.